RNAcentral lists this ribosomal RNA (410 nucleotides) under Verrucomicrobiota bacterium. Its description in RNAcentral is "Verrucomicrobia bacterium partial 16S ribosomal RNA". It matches the Rfam family "Bacterial small subunit ribosomal RNA", at positions 355 to 776 of the family's 1533-position model. The record is from RNAcentral. Lineage: Bacteria; Pseudomonadati; Verrucomicrobiota.
UGGGGAAUCUUGCACAAUGGGCGAAAGCCUGAUGCAGCGACGCCGCGUGCGGGAUGAAGGCCUUCGGGUUGUAAACCGCUUUCAGCAGGGACGAGGCCGCAAGGUGACGGUACCUGCAGAAGAAGCCCCGGCUAACUACGUGCCAGCAGCCGCGGUAAUACGUAGGGGGCAAGCGUUAUCCGGAUUCAUUGGGCGUAAAGCGCGCGUAGGCGGUUUGUUAGGUCAGGAGUUAAAUCUGGGGGCUCAACCCCUAUCCGCUCCUGAUACCGGCAGGCUUGAGUCUGGUAGGGGAAGGCGGAAUUCCAAGUGUAGCGGUGACAUGCGCAGAUAUUUGGAAGAACACCGGUGGCGAAGGCGGCCUUCUGGGCCACGACUGACGCUGGGGCGCGAAAGCUAGGGGAGCGAACAGG